UUAAUUAUGCUGUUGUACGUUUAUAAUAAUUCUAGUUUAUACUAAUACUAUAAUGAGGAAAGACUUGAUUUUUAUGUAUUUAUAUAUAGGGGGAAGUUCCCUAAGCCCGGACGGCUCCUAAAGCCCGACAUAGUUUAAAUCGGAGCGAAGAAGCGCGCCAAUUUGUUGCUUUUGCCACGGUUAGAAAGGUUAUCUCAAGUGAAGUUCGAGGGAGGGAGAGUCAAUAGUCAGUACUGACUGGUUCGUCGUAAAACUUGGUCUAAAUUUUUAGUUAUUAUUUUGCUGCUGAAGUUCAUCAUCAGACUUCAACAGCUAAAGUUAACAUUUGCAAUGACGCUUAUACGGGUACACCCGGAGAUCUGUCUCAGAAGCCUUUCGACGUCAAUGAAAAGGAGAAUGUUGAUACACAACCGUCAAUAAGCAAAGCAAUUCUCACUGUAAUUCAUCAGCUAUCACCAGUCUCAAGCACUGCAGCAAAGAGAGUCGUGAGUCGACGACGAAAAGCUGAGAAAAGUCAGAUUUUAACAUCCUCCCCCUACAAAGAUGCGCGCAUUGAAAAGAAGGCAACAAAGGCUAAACCUCUUGUAGUUAAAAUGCAACAACUGAAAGGCAAGAAAACUAACGACCCGACUAAAAAUAUUGAUAGCUUGAAGUUUGCAGUCAGUGGGCUCAUGAAGCGUGUGCUGAUGUUGAAGAGGGUUCAGUUAGCUACAUUUGUGAUUUUUGCAAAUUGUACAAUUAAAGUUUUGUGAUUCUAUAAAAACGUUCCUGAUUAUGACCAAAGUUUAUUAGAAUUACGAUUAGUUUUUUUUUUAUUAACAGUUAAAGUUAUUAAAUUAGAUUAUACAUUAGGUAGAUUGGAACUGUUUAGUUAUAAUAAUGUUUAAGUUUGAAAAUGAACGAAAAAAUGUCUGUCCGGCAUUAGGGGACCUUUUUGGGCACGUCCUUUUUUCUAUGUUAAUUGUUCCUUAGUAUUUACCACAUUUAAAGUAACAUUUAAGACUGCUGAUAUAUCUGAGUUGAUUACGUAUAUAGUUAAAAGCUUAUUAAAGUGAAAUAAAAAAAUUAGACUAUUA
This is a long non-coding RNA of Galleria mellonella (greater wax moth), 1076 nucleotides long. RefSeq lists it as uncharacterized. The transcript has 2 exons. The record is from RefSeq and is a predicted model, not a curated record. Lineage: Eukaryota; Metazoa; Arthropoda; Insecta; Lepidoptera; Pyralidae.